This 2875-nucleotide ribosomal RNA is filed under the name Paraburkholderia sp. PGU19. RNAcentral describes it as "23S ribosomal RNA". It matches the Rfam family "Bacterial large subunit ribosomal RNA". Lineage: Bacteria; Pseudomonadati; Pseudomonadota; Betaproteobacteria; Burkholderiales; Burkholderiaceae. The record is from RNAcentral.
UCAAGCGAACAAGUGCAUGUGGUGGAUGCCUUGGCGAUCACAGGCGAUGAAGGACGCGGUAGCCUGCGAAAAGCGGUGGGGAGCUGGCAAACGAGCUUUGAUCCACCGAUAUCCGAAUGGGGAAACCCGGCCCGUAUGGGUCAUCCAUGGCUGAAUACAUAGGCCAUGUGAAGCGAACGCGGUGAACUGAAACAUCUAAGUAACCGCAGGAACAGAAAUCAACCGAGAUUCCCAAAGUAGUGGCGAGCGAAAUGGGACCAGCCUGUACUCUUUAUCUUCGUUGUUAGCCAAACGCUCUGGAAAGUGCGGCCAUAGUGGGUGAUAGCCCCGUAGGCGAAAACAGUGAGGAAGAACUAGGUGUACGACAAGUAGGGCGGGACACGUGAAAUCCUGUCUGAAGAUGGGGGACCAUCCUCCAAGGCUAAAUACUCGUGAUCGACCGAUAGUGAACCAGUACCGUGAGGGAAAGGCGAAAAGAACCCCGGGAGGGGAGUGAAACAGAUCCUGAAACCGCAUGCAUACAAACAGUCGGAGCCUCGCAAGGGGUGACGGCGUACCUUUUGUAUAAUGGGUCAGCGACUUACAUUCAGUGGCGAGCUUAACCGAUUAGGGCAGGCGUAGCGAAAGCGAGUCCGAACAGGGCGAUUCAGUCGCUGGGUGUAGACCCGAAACCAGGUGAUCUAUCCAUGGCCAGGAUGAAGGUGCGGUAACACGUACUGGAGGUCCGAACCCACUAACGUUGAAAAGUUAGGGGAUGAGCUGUGGAUAGGGGUGAAAGGCUAAACAAACCUGGAAAUAGCUGGUUCUCUCCGAAAACUAUUUAGGUAGUGCCUCGUGUAUCACCUUCGGGGGUAGAGCACUGUCAUGGUUGAAGGGUCCAUUGCGGAUUACUUCGCCAUAGCAAACUCCGAAUACCGAAGAGUGCAAUCACGGGAGACAGACAUCGGGUGCUAACGUCCGGUGUCAAGAGGGAAACAACCCAGACCGCCAGCUAAGGUCCCCAAAUAUGACUAAGUGGGAAACGAAGUGGGAAGGCUAAAACAGUCAGGAGGUUGGCUUAGAAGCAGCCACCCUUUAAAGAAAGCGUAAUAGCUCACUGAUCGAGUCGUCCUGCGCGGAAGAUGUAACGGGGCUAAGUCAUAUACCGAAGCUGCGGAUGCGUGCUUGCACGCAUGGUAGGAGAGCGUUCCGUAAGCCUGCGAAGGUGCGUUGAAAAGCGUGCUGGAGGUAUCGGAAGUGCGAAUGCUGACAUGAGUAGCGAUAAAGGGGGUGAAAGGCCCCCUCGCCGUAAGCCCAAGGUUUCCUACGCAACGUUCAUCGGCGUAGGGUGAGUCGGCCCCUAAGGCGAGGCAGAAAUGCGUAGCUGAUGGGAAGCAGGUCAAUAUUCCUGCACCAGUGUGAAAUGCGAUGGGGGGACGGAUCGCGGAAGGUUGUCCGGGUGUUGGAAGUCCCGGUCGCUGCGUUGGAGAAGGUGCUCUGGCAAAUCCGGGCACGGAAUUCAAGGGCGUGGCGCGAGCUCUCUAGGGGGCGAAGCAAUCGGAAGGGGUUCCAGGAAAAGCCUCUAAGCUUCAGUUUCACAUUGACCGUACCGCAAACCGACACAGGUGGGCGAGAUGAGUAUUCUAAGGCGCUUGAGAGAACUCGGGAGAAGGAACUCGGCAAAUUGGUACCGUAACUUCGGGAUAAGGUACGCCCCUGUAGCUUGAGCCCCUGCGGGGUGAGGGUGAAGGGGUUGCAAUAAACUGGUGGCUGCGACUGUUUAAUAAAAACACAGCACUCUGCAAACACGAAAGUGGACGUAUAGGGUGUGACGCCUGCCCGGUGCCGGAAGAUUAAAUGAUGGGGUGCAAGCUCUUGAUUGAAGUCCCGGUAAACGGCGGCCGUAACUAUAACGGUCCUAAGGUAGCGAAAUUCCUUGUCGGGUAAGUUCCGACCUGCACGAAUGGCGUAACGAUGGCCACACUGUCUCCUCCCGAGACUCAGCGAAGUUGAAGUGUUUGUGAUGAUGCAAUCUCCCCGCGGCUAGACGGAAAGACCCCAUGAACCUUUACUGUAGCUUUGCAUUGGACUUUGAACCGAUCUGUGUAGGAUAGGUGGGAGGCUAUGAAGCGUGAACGCCAGUUUGCGUGGAGCCGUCCUUGAAAUACCACCCUGGUUUGUUUGAGGUUCUAACCUUGGCCCGUGAUCCGGGUCGGGGACAGUGCAUGGUGGGCAGUUUGACUGGGGCGGUCUCCUCCCAAAGUGUAACGGAGGAGUACGAAGGUACGCUAGGUACGGUCGGAAAUCGUGCUGAUAGUGCAAUGGCAUAAGCGUGCUUAACUGCGAGACCGACAAGUCGAGCAGGUGCGAAAGCAGGUCAUAGUGAUCCGGUGGUUCUGUAUGGAAGGGCCAUCGCUCAACGGAUAAAAGGUACUCUGGGGAUAACAGGCUGAUACCGCCCAAGAGUUCAUAUCGACGGCGGUGUUUGGCACCUCGAUGUCGGCUCAUCUCAUCCUGGGGCUGUAGCCGGUCCCAAGGGUAUGGCUGUUCGCCAUUUAAAGAGGUACGUGAGCUGGGUUUAAAACGUCGUGAGACAGUUUGGUCCCUAUCUGCCGUGGGCGCUGGAUAUUUGAAGGGGCUGCUCCUAGUACGAGAGGACCGGAGUGGACGAACCUCUGGUGUACCGGUUGUCACGCCAGUGGCAUCGCCGGGUAGCUAUGUUCGGAAGAGAUAACCGCUGAAAGCAUCUAAGCGGGAAACUCGCCUUGAGAUGAGAUAUCCCCGGGGCUUCGAGCCCCUUGAAGGGUCGUUCAAGACCAGGACGUUGAUAGGUCAGGUGUGGAAGCGCAGUAAUGCGUUAAGCUAACUGAUACUAAUUGCCCGUAAGGCUUGAUCC